AAAAUAUGAGAGUUUGAUCCUGGCUCAGGAUGAACGCUGGCGGCGUGCCUAAUACAUGCAAGUCGAGCG
Molecule: ribosomal RNA, 69 nt
Rfam family: Bacterial small subunit ribosomal RNA